Molecule: unclassified non-coding RNA, 355 nt
Filed under: soil metagenome
Description: partial contains 5.8S ribosomal RNA, internal transcribed spacer 2, and large subunit ribosomal RNA
Rfam family: 5.8S ribosomal RNA (bases 1-120)
Source: RNAcentral
GAUGAGGAACGCAGCGAAAUGCGAUAAGUAAUGUGAAUUGCAGAAUUCAGUGAAUCAUCGAAUCUUUGAACGCACAUUGCGCCCGCCAGUAUUCUGGCGGGCAUGCCUGUCCGAGCGUCAUUUCAACCCUCGAACCCCUCCGGGGGGUCGGCGUUGGGGAUCGGCCCUGCCUCUUGGCGGUGGCCGUCUCCGAAAUACAGUGGCGGUCUCGCCGCAGCCUCUCCUGCGCAGUAGUUUGCACACUCGCAUCGGGAGCGCGGCGCGUCCACAGCCGUUAAACACCCUACUUCUGAAAUGUUGACCUCGGAUCAGGUAGGAAUACCCGCUGAACUUAAGCAUAUCAAUAAGCGGAGGA